RNAcentral lists this ribosomal RNA (402 nucleotides) under uncultured Prevotella sp. Its description in RNAcentral is "bacterial SSU rRNA". It matches the Rfam family "Bacterial small subunit ribosomal RNA", at positions 338 to 732 of the family's 1533-position model. Lineage: Bacteria; Pseudomonadati; Bacteroidota; Bacteroidia; Bacteroidales; Prevotellaceae. The record is from RNAcentral.
CCUACGGGGGGCUGCAGUGGGGAAUUUUGGACAAUGGGGGCAACCCUGAUCCAGCCAUGCCGCGUGCAGGAUGAAGGCCUUCGGGUUGUAAACUGCUUUUGUACGGAACGAAAAAGCGCCUUCUAAUACAGGGCGUCCAUGACGGUACCGUAAGAAUAAGCACCGGCUAACUACGUGCCAGCAGCCGCGGUAAUACGUAGGGUGCGAGCGUUAAUCGGAAUUACUGGGCGUAAAGCGUGCGCAGGCGGUCAUGCAAGACAGAGGUGAAAUCCCCGGGCUCAACCUGGGAACUGCCUUUGUGACUGCAUGGCUGGAGUGCGGCAGAGGGGGAUGGAAUUCCGCGUGUAGCAGUGAAAUGCGUAGAUAUGCGGAGGAACACCGAUGGCGAAGGCAAUCCCCUGG